GAUGAAGAACGUAGCGAAAUGCGAUAAGUAAUGCGAAUUGCAGAAUUUCCGUGAGUCAUCGAAUCUUUGAACGCACAUUGCGCCCCCUGGUAUUCCGGGGGGCAUGCCUGUCCGAGCGUCAUUACAACCCUCAAGCUCAGCUUGGUGUUGGGCCCCGCCGCCCCGGCGGGCCCUAAAGUCAGUGGCGGUGCCGUCCGGCUCCGAGCGUAGUAAUUCUUCUCGCUCUGGAGGUCCGGUCGUGUGCUCGCCAGCAACCCCCAAUUUUUUUCAGGUUGACCUCGGAUCAGGUAGGGAUACCCGCUGAACUUAAGCAUACAAUAAGCGGAGGA
Molecule: unclassified non-coding RNA, 329 nt
Filed under: soil metagenome
Description: partial contains 5.8S ribosomal RNA, internal transcribed spacer 2, and large subunit ribosomal RNA
Rfam family: 5.8S ribosomal RNA (bases 1-121)
Source: RNAcentral